UACGAAGGGGGCUAGCGUUGCUCGGAAUUACUGGGCGUAAAGGGCUCGUAGGCGGCCAACUAAGUCAGACGUGAAAUCCCUCGGCUUAACCGGGGAACUGCGUCUGAUACUGGAUGGCUUGAGUUUGGGAGAGGGAUGCGGAAUUCCAGGUGUAGCGGUGAAAUGCGUAGAUAUCUGGAGGAACACCGGUGGCGAAGGCGGCAUCCUGGACCAACACUGACGCUGAGGAGCGAAAGCCAGGGGAGCAAACGGGG
RNAcentral lists this ribosomal RNA (254 nucleotides) under uncultured bacterium. RNAcentral describes it as "partial 16S ribosomal RNA". It matches the Rfam family "Bacterial small subunit ribosomal RNA", at positions 524 to 777 of the family's 1533-position model. The record is from RNAcentral.